AUGCUCCUUGCUACUCUUGUUGUGACCAUCACCUACCAAGCUGGACUUGAUCCACCGGGCGGCCUCUGGCAGGACGAUCAAUAUGGGCAUAAGAUUGGCCAUCCGGUGCUCCAAACGACACAUCCAACUCGUUACAGAGUGUUCUUCUACAGUAAUUCGGCAACUUUCGUCACAUCCUUGGUCGUCAUCAUGAUGCUCCAAAGCAGAUUUUUGCUCAAGCGACACACACUUGAAGCAGCUCUGGUGCUGGACCUUUUUGGUCUCAUCACUGCCUAUGGCGCCGGGAGCACCAGGGAUGUAAAGUCAUCCAUCUACAUUGUUGCCUUGGCGGGGCUUGUCCUCGUCUAUGUCAUCGUCCAUAUCACCAUAAGAGACCAUGAUCCUGAGCCAGCGGAUGAUGCCGCAGUGAAGGAUUUG
Molecule: ribosomal RNA, 417 nt
Filed under: Triticum aestivum (bread wheat)
Lineage: Eukaryota; Viridiplantae; Streptophyta; Magnoliopsida; Poales; Poaceae
Description: partial small subunit ribosomal RNA
Source: RNAcentral